Solanum lycopersicum (tomato) is the source of this 2999-nucleotide RNA transcript. It is a transcript of the gene named probable methyltransferase PMT5, with no coding region annotated. NCBI's taxonomy places the organism in Eukaryota, Viridiplantae, Streptophyta, Magnoliopsida, Solanales, Solanaceae. The record is from RefSeq and is a predicted model, not a curated record.
AUGUGAGUUUUCAUUUCUCAAUGUGCGAGUCCUGUAAUUUGAUCUGUAUACAACAAACAAGGAGAUUUACUCUCUGCAUUUUCUCCAACAGAAAAAAAUAAAAAUAAAGCUGCUGUUACCUUCUCUUUCCUAAAAACUCUGUUCUUUUUCAUUUUCUGUAUCUUUCUUUAUAUGUCAAUACCAAUCCCAACUCUGCAUAGCUUUCUGCAACUGUCACAAUAUAUAUAUAUAUUGAGAAAAUAGAGAGACAUUCCUACAUUUUAUGUCCAUCCCAUUUAUCAAGACUCAAUCUUUAGGGUGAUCUGAGGAUUUGGAUUGCUUGGUUUGUAAGGGAAUAGAGAGAGUUGUUUCAGAAUUGGCAUUGGUUGGAUUGGUUGUGUGUUGUGUGAGAGAAUUGUGAGUCAUUGGUAGUUGAUGUGUCAUAAUGUUUUAGGAGGGGCUUUUCACUGAUCUGCCAUUUGAUUGUUGUACUUGGUGAUUGUGGAGACUUGUGGUAUUGGAAUUUCACCUGAUUUGUAAUCUUGUUUAGUUUGGUAUGAUUGGAGAAUUUCUUUAUGUUGAGCUUAGGUAGUGGUUUAAACAGAUGCCAGUUGAAAUUGUUUGGAUUUUGGGUGAUAUAUAUGGGAGAUGGUCUCUGAUGAUAUAUUACAUUUUUCAUAGUUGUUGGAGGUUCAGGUUGAAGCAAUAGCUACCACCUAGUGGUCUAAUUCAACUCGAUUUUCGAAGGGGUUCUUGAAACUUGGCCAUGAGAAGCCCUUUGGUCAAUAAACUAUCAUUAAUUUUCGGCCCUAGACCGCCACUCAACCGAAUACUCUUGUGUCUGGUCAGUGUCUGUGUGCUACUAGUAUUGUUAUCAUCAUUUUCUACUACUACCUUUGACUCGGCGACUUCCUAUGCAAAGCCUGAUAUCUAUACAAAUUAUAGAAAGCUAAAGGAGCAAGCAAGAAAUGAUUAUUUAGAGCUUAAGAGCAUUUCUCUGGGAGCUAACCUGAUUAAGGAUGUUGGUCUUUGUGGGAAGGAAAGAGAGAAUUAUGUGCCUUGCCAUAAUGUAUCGGCAAAUCUGUUAGCUGGGCUUAAAGAUGGGGAGGAAUUUGAUAGGCACUGUGAGUUAUCGCAAGAACACCAAAAUUGUUUGGUUCGUCCUCCCAAGGAGUACAAGAUUCCACUGACUUGGCCAGCAGGUAGGGAUGUCAUAUGGAGUGGAAAUGUGAAGCUAACCAAAGAUCAGUUCCUUUCUUCUGGAAGCAUGACAAAAAGGCUAAUGUUAUUGGAAGAGAACCAAAUAGCUUUCCAUUCAGAGGAUGGAAUGAUUGUUGAUGGUGUCAAAGAUUACUCUCACCUUAUUGCGGAUAUGAUUGGUCUAGGAAGUGAUACAGAGUUUCUUCAAGCCGGUGUGCGCACCGUGCUGGAUAUUGGUUGUGGAUUUGGUAGCUUUGGUGCCCAUCUACUCUCAUUGAGGUUGAUGGCUCUUUGUGUGGCACCAUAUGAACCAUCUGGUAGCCAAGUUCAGUUAGCACUCGAGAGAGGACUUCCAGCUGUCAUUGGCAACUUUAUUUCGAAACAGCUUCCAUUUCCAUCAUUGUCCUAUGACAUGGUUCACUGUGCUCAAUGUGGAAUCAUUUGGGAUAGCAAAGAUGGGCUGUUUCUUAUUGAAAUUGACCGUUUACUCAAGCCUGGUGGUUACUUUGUCUUAACCUCACCUACAACCCAGCAGCAGGAUAGUACUACCAAUACAAAGAACGGAAUUACAUCUAGUUCACUGGAAGGAUUCACUAAGAAGCUCUGUUGGUCUCUUUUGGCACAGCAAGAAGAGACGUUUAUUUGGCAGAAGACAGCUGAUUCUCAGUGUUAUACAUCCAGCAGUCAGGGUGAGAUACCAGUUUGUAAAGGAAAUGAGAUGCAAAUGUACUACCAACCACUUGCACACUGUAUAUCUGGGACAACGAGUCGCCGGUGGGUUCCAAUUCAUAGCAAAUCUGAUCAUCUGAACUCAACUGAGCUUGAAAUUCAUGGGCUCCAUCCUGAUGAUUUCUUCGAGGAUUCAAACUUCUGGAAAUUAGCUCUGAGAAAUUAUUGGUCUUUGCUAUCACCCUUGAUUUUCUCUGACCAUCCGAAAAGGCCAGGAGAUGAUGAUCCAUUACCUCCAUAUAAUAUGGUGCGUAAUGUCAUGGACAUGAAUGCUCAUUAUGGCGGUCUUAGUGCUGCAUUAAUGGAGGCAAGAAAAGCCGUAUGGGUGAUGAAUGUGGUUCCUCUUGGGGCACGUAAUACACUUCCUCUCAUACAUGAUCAAGGUUUUGCCGGUGUUCUGCAUAACUGGUGUGAACCCUUCCCUACAUAUCCCCGAACGUAUGAUUUGCUCCAUGCAAAUGGGCUCCUUUCCCAUAUUGCUUCACAAAAAUGCAGCAUGUUUGAACUACUUCUGGAGAUGGAUCGUAUUUUAAGGCCUGAGGGAUGGAUUAUUCUUUCUGAUACAUUGGGUACAAUAGAGAAAGCACGUACAUUAGCUGCCCAAAUCCGCUGGGAAGCCAGGGUGAUCGACCUCCAGAAUGGAAGUGACCAGCGACUACUUGUAUGCCAAAAACCAUUCGUGAGGAAGUGAUAUUCUGCAAAAUGCAUAACUUCACCAAUCCAAUGGUUGUCCAGUCCUUUUUAACACUGGCCACAAGCUGCGCGUUGACGUCUGAAUCUCGUGGUCCUCGCAUAAUAUGGUGCUCACAAAGCUGAAACUAAAGUAUUUGGAAGCUGAUGAAUAUAGAGAGUGCUUUUGUUUCAUCAAGUAGUUAACAGUACACAACAGAAGAUUUUUGACCUUUUUCUAUUUUUUUUUUUUCAAUAUUUAUGUAACAAUUCUUUCAUCUUAUUUUUUUUUUCAAUUUUGAAAUUCAUUCUGAAUUUUGUAAUUGAAUUAUGUUUUGUACUGAGGAACUACCCUUUACUGAGAGCAAAUGUUCUAUAUUGGAUCAAUCAUAAAGAUGACACUUAACCAAAUUCUUCAAGAA